GCGCCGGUAGUGUAGCGGUUAUCACUGAGCGUUCCCAACGCUCAAAUCCGGGUUCGAUUCCCGGUCGGCGCA
This 72-nucleotide transfer RNA is filed under the name Methanomicrobium sp. Its description in RNAcentral is "tRNA-Gly". It matches the Rfam family "tRNA". Rfam says of the family: Transfer RNA (tRNA) molecules are approximately 80 nucleotides in length. Their secondary structure includes four short double-helical elements and three loops (D, anti-codon, and T loops). Further hydrogen bonds mediate the characteristic L-shaped molecular structure. tRNAs have two regions of fundamental functional importance: the anti-codon, which is responsible for specific mRNA codon recognition, and the 3' end, to which the tRNAs corresponding amino acid is attached (by aminoacyl-tRNA synthetases). tRNAs cope with the degeneracy of the genetic code in two manners: having more than one tRNA (with a specific anti-codon) for a particular amino acid; and 'wobble' base-pairing, i.e. permitting non-standard base-pairing at the 3rd anti-codon position. Lineage: Archaea; Methanobacteriati; Methanobacteriota; Methanomicrobia; Methanomicrobiales; Methanomicrobiaceae. The record is from RNAcentral.